GAACUUGGCAGCUUGCUGCUGGGGAUUAGUGGCGAACGGGUGAGUAACACGUGAGUAACCUGCCCUGGACUCUGGGAUAACCCCGAGAAAUCGGAGCUAAUACCGGAUAGGACCUUGGACCGCAUGGUUUGGGGUGGAAAGUUUUUCGGUUUGGGAUGGACUCGCGGCCUAUCAGCUUGUUGGUGAGGUAAUGGCUCACCAAUGCGUCGACGGGUAGCCGGCCUGAGAGGGUGACCGGCCACACUGGGACUGAGACACGGCCCAGACUCCUACGGGAGGCAGCAGUGGGGAAUAUUGCACAAUGGGCGCAAGCCUGAUGCAGCAACGCCGCGUGCGGGAUGACGGCCUUCGGGUUGUAAACCGCUUUUAGUAGGGAAGAAGGGCUUCGGCUUGACGGUACCUGCAGAAAAAGGACCGGCUAACUACGUGCCAGCAGCCGCGGUAAUACGUAGGGUCCGAGCGUUGUCCGGAAUUAUUGGGCGUAAAGAGCUCGUAGGCGGUUUGUCGCGUCUGCUGUGAAAUCCCGAGGCUCAACCUCGGGCCUGCAGUGGGUACGGGCAGACUGGAGUGCGGUAGGGGAGAAUGGAAUUCCUGGUGUAGCGGUGGAAUGCGCAGAUAUCAGGAGGAACACCGAUGGCGAAGGCAGUUCUCUGGGCCGUAACUGACGCUGAGGAGCGAAAGCGUGGGGAGCGAACAGGAUUAGAUACCCUGGUAGUCCACGCCGUAAACGUUGGGCGCUAGAUGUGGGGACCUUUCCACGGUUUCCGUGUCGUAGCUAACGCAUUAAGCGCCCCGCCUGGGGAGUACGGCCGCAAGGCUAAAACUCAAAGGAAUUGACGGGGGCCCGCACAAGCGGCGGAGCAUGCGGAUUAAUUCGAUGCAACGCGAAGAACCUUACCAAGGCUUGACAUAACCGGGAACGCCCUAGAAAUAGGGAACUCUUUGGACACUCGGUUACAGGUGGUGCAUGGUUGUCGUCAGCUCGUGUCGUGAGAUGUUGGGUUAAGUCCCGCAACGAGCGCAACCCUCGUCGCAUGUUGCCAGCACGUUAUGGUGGGAACUCAUGUGAGACUGCCGGGGUCAACUCGGAGGAAGGUGGGGAUGACGUCAAAUCAUCAUGCCCCUUAUGUCUUGGGCUUCACCGCAUGCUACAAUGGCCGGUACAAAGGGCUGCGAUGUCGUAAGNCGGAGCGAAUCCCCAAAAGCCGGUCUCAGUUCGGAUUGAGGUCUGCAACUCGACCUCAUGAAGUCGGAGUCGCUAGUAAUCGC
This 1269-nucleotide ribosomal RNA is filed under the name uncultured bacterium. RNAcentral's name for it is "bacterial SSU rRNA". It matches the Rfam family "Bacterial small subunit ribosomal RNA", at positions 68 to 1345 of the family's 1533-position model. The record is from RNAcentral.